ACUGCGGAAGGAUCAUU
Molecule: ribosomal RNA, 17 nt
Filed under: Cirsium pitcheri
Lineage: Eukaryota; Viridiplantae; Streptophyta; Magnoliopsida; Asterales; Asteraceae
Also listed under: 1 other name
Description: partial 18S ribosomal RNA
Source: RNAcentral